This 1968-nucleotide unclassified non-coding RNA is filed under the name Diabrotica virgifera virgifera (western corn rootworm). Its description in RNAcentral is "protein NDRG3". Lineage: Eukaryota; Metazoa; Arthropoda; Insecta; Coleoptera; Chrysomelidae. The record is from RNAcentral.
AAAUCAAAUUAACUGAUUCAUUAAUUUGUGCAUUAUAAACAUUUAAAAAACACAAAAUCAGGGCUUGUUAAUGAUGUUACGCCAUUGAUCCCGACAUGGAUCUAGCAACCCAGUCACGUGGUCUCUUAGCGACCAAUAAGACAGGUUUAAGCAUUAAAUUACAACAGUUCUCAAGUAAACGUCAAAGUAACAAUUUGUUAAAAGACUAGUGUUUUGUGUUACUUAUUGUUAUUGUUAAAAUAAAUAACAGUGAAACUAACAAGCGUGGGGCAACAGGAGGCGCAAUGCCCGUCGGCAGCCUAACGGGCACUUAUCGAUCCCUGACCGGUUCGAAUGCUGUUUACCGGUCCACAACGAUGGUGCCGACCGGCGCCGGGCCGCAGCCGCCGGGCCAGUCCGGCUCUGGCGGCCUCGGCCUUCUAGAUGGGUUCAAGAAAGCUUUUAGCUUUGUCUCUGGAACCUACAGCAACGCCGAGCCGGACGGAAGGGAAGAGAGACUCCUUGGAGAUGGGAGUGGACAGAGGACGAGCAUUGCUAGCGGCAGGACUGAUAGUGCUAACACUAACACAAACAGAAAAAUGCCCUCUUCCGGAUUAGCUGAAGAGGCGGCCCUUUUGGGUACUAUGCCUUCUGACAGCAUGGACGACAUUGAGCUGAAGAACAUCCAACUCCAAUUCCCGACUGCCAGAUCAUUAUCCAGGGACGACUCGUCUGUCAUGGAGGAAGUCGUCGAAACAGAUCGUGGAAACGUGGUGGUUGCUGUACAAGGUUCCAGGAACAAGCCUGCCAUUUUGACGUACCAUGAUCUUGGAUUAAAUUAUGUAUCCAAUUUCCAGGCAUUUUUCAAUUACAUUGACAUGAGAGCUUUAUUGGAAAAUUUCUGCGUCUAUCACAUCAACGCACCAGGACAGGAAGAAGGUGCUCAAACACUUCCAGAAGACUACCUUUACCCAACGAUGGACGAACUUGCUAACCAAGUCUCGUACGUAAUGACCCAUUUCGGUCUGAAACAGUUCAUAGGAUUCGGCGUCGGCGCAGGUGCGAAUAUUCUCUGCCGGUACGCCCUGAAUCGUCCAGAACACGUUUCGGCGCUGUGUCUGGUCAACUGCGCUAGUACUCAAGCUGGUUGGAUAGAGUGGGGGUACCAAAAACUUAAUACUAGACAUCUGCGUUCGAAAGGAAUGACCCAAGGUGUUUUAGAUUAUUUGAUGUGGCAUCACUUUGGUAGGCAAACCGAAGAACGAAACCAUGACCUAGUUCAAGUUUACAAAAGUUAUUUCGAACGAAACGUAAACCCCACCAACUUAGCUCUCUUUAUCGACAGUUACGUCAGAAGGACAGAUCUCAAUAUCCACAGAGAAAUGGAUCCACUCAAAAAGAAGAAUGCGAGCUUAGCGAUGCCUGUGAUGAAUAUAACUGGCUCUAUGAGUCCUCACAUGGAGGAUACUGUCACGUUCAAUGGAAGACUUGAUCCAACUAACUCAUCUUGGAUGAAGAUUUCUGAUUGCGGUAUGGUAUUAGAAGAACAACCGGCGAAAGUUAGCGAAGCAUUUAGAUUAUUCCUACAGGGCGAAGGAUACGCGAUACAUUACCAUCGACCCAGUACUUGUUAACCGAUAUGUGAUACUGUACAGAUAAACGUUUCGAGAAAAAAAUUAGAGCAUUAUAAAAUCGCUCCUCUUUCUCCAACCAAAAUGGCAAUGUUUCGUAAAGCUUCUCUAGAGGAAUUGCUCAAGUCAAAGAUGUCACCCACCGGGCAGUGGCCUGCAAGUAUCAUUCAUAUCACAGAAAAUCCUAUAUCAGCAGUCGUAUGCUAAAUGUUACCGCAAACUGUAUUGAAAUUUAUAAUUGUGACUGACGCGAUUGGUGGAAUAUUUUGGCUGUAAAUUUAAAAUUACGCAAAAGAGGACUUCAUCAAAAAUAUCGACACGGUAUAGUGGAGCGUGACGAGACAUCUCGUAACGCCAC